CCCGGGCCCGCCGCCGUGCGCCCUCCGCCUCGGUGCGUCGGGUACGGGCCGCCCCCGGGCUGAACGGAACCGGCCGCCUCCUCUGGAUAAUGUUUCCAACCGGUGGGGUUUGGGUGGUGCACGGCGGGCGGGAACCGAGCAGCCCCGGAGGUGCAGGAGCGGCUCCCAGCGCUGCCAUCAUGCCAGUUAAGAGAGCACUGAAGUUGGAGACCCUUGCAAAAGAAAACCCACAUGAAGCAACACCUUUGAAGACCAGAAAGAAAAAUUUAAGCUCAUAUUCACCAACAACAGGAACAUGCCAAAUCAGUGCAUUUUCAUCUCCCACAAGUCAUAAUGUACAAAAGCUCGGAAAUGGUCUAUCAAAUGGAGACCGAGAUGAGCUGAAUUACUCAGAAAUGAGUUUAUCCAGAAGAGGGCAAUCUCAAACAGAAGAGUAUGAUAAGUUUAUGGUGUUGCAGUCUGAAGUUGAAAAUUCAUUGGUGAGAUUUCUGAAAAUGAGACAAAGCUUAACAAGUUUACAGGCUUUAGAGGGCAGUAGAGAGCUUGAAAAUAUUUUUGGCGUCUCAGACUCAUCCUGUAACUUGAAAGCUGAAGUGCAGAAGACCAAAGUGCUAAUGGCUCAAGCAGAAAAACGAAAGCUGCUGAAGAGGAGUAAUGCAAAACAUCCUGCCCGAGAAUAUGUACAAUCUGGUAACAGUUAUGAAUUCCUUAAAUCCCUCAUUAACUGAGGCACUAUGUGAAAAAUGCAUUCCGUAUCAACACAAAGUUCUACAUCUGCUUUAUUGUACUUAAAAGGAGAGAAGAAAUGCCUGUAAAUCUAUCUCCCCAGCAAAUACCAAUUAAGGAUUGCUCAUUGCACAAGGCAGAAACAGCUGGGUCUGCUAAGAACCAUUUCCCAAUUCUACACAAGGUAGAUCAGAUGACUCUCGCUUUAUCACCCUUGGAGGCCAUCUGAAGGACAAAGAAAAGAGAUACGCACAAAACUAAUGUUUUUAUAUGGUGGGGAACCCUUGGCCCUAAUCUUGUGACGAAUACAAGACAGAAGAGAGUAACUGAAAUGUGAAACUAUUCCACUUUCUUCCAUCUUAGUUGGAUGUUUUACACAUUCUUUUAUUGAAAAUAGAGGUUCACCACAUUGCUUUAACUUUUGGCAGUGUUUCACUAAGUUUAUUUGCGCAAAGUUCUGUAGGAGUUUUCUCAAAAUCACUGUGGACUCUUUCUAUGGCUGAUACACAUAACUACCCACUCCUUUUUAAAAGAAAGAAAAUAUUUUAUUGUGGUUGGAAAUUUUGCAUGCCUUACACAUGGAUAAUCAUCAUGGUAACACCCUCUCAGAAGAAUGUUAAAUGUUUAUGGAAAGGUUACAGUUACAGCUUGGAAUAAACUGUCAUACACUAGGUCAAGUGCUGUCUGUCUACAUAUAUAAUUGCAGUUCAGUAAUGCCUUAUAUGUUAAGUGGAAUGUUAUACCUCGUACAAAAUAAAGCUGCCUUCUAGAA
This is an RNA transcript of Trachemys scripta elegans, 1498 nucleotides long. It is a transcript of the gene named integrin subunit beta 3 binding protein, with no coding region annotated. The transcript has 10 exons. The record is from RefSeq and is a predicted model, not a curated record. NCBI's taxonomy places the organism in Eukaryota, Metazoa, Chordata, Testudines, Emydidae.